GAAGGAUCCAAGCGUUAUCCGGAUUUAUGGGUUUAAAGGGUGCGUAGGCGGGCUAUUAAGUCAGUGGUGAAAAGCCCCAAGCUUAACUUGGGAAUUGCCAUUGAUACUGAUGGUCUUGAGUACACUUGAAGUGGGCGGAAUGUGUCAUGUAGCGGUGAAAUGCUUAGAUAUGACACAGAACACCGAUUGCGAAGGCAGCUCACUAAACUGUAACUGACGCUGAGGCACGAAAGCGUGGGGAUCAAACAGGAUUAGAUACCCUGGUAGUCCACGCCCUAAACGAUGAUUACUCGAUGUGUGCAAUACACCGUACGCGUCUGAGCGAAAGCAUUAAGUAAUCCACCUGGGGAGUACGACCGCAAGGUUG
RNAcentral lists this ribosomal RNA (367 nucleotides) under uncultured organism. RNAcentral describes it as "bacterial SSU rRNA". It matches the Rfam family "Bacterial small subunit ribosomal RNA", at positions 527 to 896 of the family's 1533-position model. The record is from RNAcentral.